UACAGAGGGUGCGAGCGUUGUUCGGAGUUACUGGGCGUAAAGCGUGCGUAGGCGGUGUUCCAAGUCUGUUGUGAAAUCUCCCGGCUUAACUGGGAGGGUGCGGCGGAAACUGGAACGCUGGAGUAUGGGAGAGGUAAGCGGAAUUCCCGGUGUAGUGGUGAGAUGCGUAGAGAUCGGCAGGAACACCCAGGGGGAAACCAGUGGACUGGGCAGGCGCUGACACUCAUGUGCGAAAGCGUGGGGAGCGAACCGG
RNAcentral lists this ribosomal RNA (253 nucleotides) under uncultured bacterium. RNAcentral's name for it is "partial 16S ribosomal RNA". It matches the Rfam family "Bacterial small subunit ribosomal RNA", at positions 524 to 776 of the family's 1533-position model. The record is from RNAcentral.